GGCUGGCAUGCAGGGGGGACAGGAAUAACUGGACUGAAGCUGCCACACACAUUUCUUCAGAAGACAACGAGAGACAUUAUCCAAUUCUUUUGGUUCUUCAGGGCCCAGACUUUGAAGCUUAUGGGAAGCUUAUUCUGUUGACCUGGGAGUUGGAUGAUUGGACGUCACAGCUCCUCUGUUGCUGUCAGGCUGAAUCAAACUGAUAUUCCUGAAGCCAAGGAUCCAGGAGGGGCAGAGGGGUUGUUGAAAUGCACUUUCAGGUCUCAGGUCUGUCAUUUUUCAUUGAGUGUUUACUGAAUGAGUUGUCUCAGGGGUGGUGCUAUGAAUUGUGGGGCUUUUACACAGCAGGUUAAUCGAGCACAUCACAACUUCAUAUUUUAUACUUGUUUAAUUAUCUAACAUUGGCUAAACGGGUACACAUGUACUCUUUACUAUGUAAAGAUGGAUUCUUAGAGGUUAGUUACACAAAAUGUGGCGCUUUUGUUUUUCUCCUGGCAUUUUUAGAUGCAAAGCCUCUCUAAGCUGCAGCUUAAACUCACUCACAGGAUUACGAUUAGCUAGAUGUGCUCCAGUGCGUUGUUUGCAGUCACGCUCAAAAUUCUGAAUGAGAAGUAAAAGGCAGAAUGGACAAGAUGGAGAAAAGUCAAUAACUGUGCUAGUUGUUUACUCAUUGUAAGUGCUGUUGCCUGAGAUGCAUGAUUUUAUAUUUUAUGUAAAGUUGAAAUUUAAAUUUGAUGUAUAACGGGUAAAAACUGAAGAUGUGCAACUGAACAGGCUGUAGCUGCAAGUGAUUUAGUAAAUUUACUUUCACAUUUGUCCAGCAACCAAUGUUCUGUUUGUAGUACCACUGACAGAAUUAGUGCCCAAGCAACGCCUGUUUCCAAGAACCAACCUCUGUUGUUGUGAAGAGAGCUACAUUCACUGUGCCAUCCCAGUCAACAUGUAAUCACCCAAUUCAUUAACUUAUGGCUAAAUUUAUUUGAGGUCACAAUGACCUUUUGAGUCAAAAGUGUCAUUCAGGGUCUGACCAACUGAAAUAUGGUUACAAUCUGUUCAUGAAUUAUGAUAAUGAUGGCAAAAAA
Siniperca chuatsi (mandarin fish) is the source of this 1082-nucleotide long non-coding RNA. RefSeq lists it as uncharacterized. The record is from RefSeq and is a predicted model, not a curated record. Lineage: Eukaryota; Metazoa; Chordata; Actinopteri; Centrarchiformes; Sinipercidae. The transcript is spliced from 3 exons.